UGAAUACGAGAUGCUACGGCGUCGAAGCAGUCUAUGUCAUACUUCCAAGAAAAGCUUGCACUGUCAUAAACAAAUAAUGCCUGUACCAUAACCGACACAGGUGGGUAGGUAGAGUAUACUAAGGGGCGCGAGAUAACUCUCUCUAAGGAACUCGGCAAAAUGACUCCGUAACUUCGGGAGAAGGAGUGCCUUAUUUAUAAGGUUGCAAUAACAAGAUCCAAGCAACUGUUUACCAAAAACACAGGUCUCCGCUAAGUCGUAAGACGAUGUAUGGGGGCUGACGCCUGCCCAGUGCCAGAAGGUUAAAGAAGUUGGUUAGCAUCCGAAGCUGAUAACUGAAGCCCUGGUGAACGGCGGCCGUAACGAUAACGGUCCUAAGGUAGCGAAAUUCCUUGUCGGGUAAGUUCCGACCCGCACGAAAGGCGUAAUGAUUUGGAUACUGUCUCGGAGAGGGGCUCGGUGAAAUAGACUUGUCUGUGAAGAUGCGGACUACCUGCACCAGGACAGAAAGACCCUAUGAAGCUUUACUGUAACCUGAAAUUGAAAUUGGACUUUACUUGCGCAGUAUAGGUGGGAGGCGUUGAGAAUAUUCUUGCGGGAUUAUUGGAGCCAUCAGUGAGAUACCACUCUUGUAAUGUUAGAUUUCUAACUUUGUAUCAUUAUCUGGUCAAAGAACAGUUUCAGGCGGGCAGUUUGACUGGGGCGGUCGCCUCCUAAACGGUAACGGAGGCGCACAAAGGUUUCCUCUGAACGGGUAGAAAUCGUAUCUAGAGUGUAAAGGCAUAAGGAAGCUUGACUGUGAGACCUACAAGUCGAGCAGGGACGAAAGUCGGUCUUAGUGAUCUGACGGUGCUGAGUGGAAAGGCCGUCACUCAACGGAUAAAAGUUACUCUAGGAUAACAGGCUGAUCUCCCCCAAGAGUUCACAUCAACGGGGAGGUUUGGCACCUCGAUGUCGGCUCAUCGCAUCCUGGGGCGGUAGUACGUCCCAAGGGUUGGGCUGUUCGCCCAUGAAAGCGGUACGCGAGCUGGGUUCAGAACGUCGUGAGACAGUUCUGUCCAUAUCCGGUGUAGGCGUUAGAAUAUUGAGAGGAGCCUUCUUUAGUACGAGAGGGCCGAGAAGGACAUACCUCUGGUGUACCAGUUAUCGUGCCAACGGUAAACGCUGGGUAGCUAUGUGUGGAGUGGAUAACCGCUGAAAGCAUCUAAGUGGGAAGCCCACCUCAAGAUAAG
Molecule: ribosomal RNA, 1232 nt
Filed under: metagenome
Description: bacterial LSU rRNA
Rfam family: Bacterial large subunit ribosomal RNA
Source: RNAcentral